This 1407-nucleotide long non-coding RNA is filed under the name Macaca mulatta (Rhesus monkey). RNAcentral's name for it is "lncRNA (ENSMMUG00000061176.1)". The record is from RNAcentral. Lineage: Eukaryota; Metazoa; Chordata; Mammalia; Primates; Cercopithecidae.
GAAGUGGAAGGACCCCGCGUCCAGGACAGGAAACACCCCUGACCUUGCUUACACACUCUGGAUACCACCUGCUGUGGAAUGACGGAGUGGCGGAAGCAGACAUCCAGCGAUAGUUAGAUUUCCUGACGUUGACAUCCAAGCAAGAAAGGCGUGUACCUGAGGACCUGCCCGUGGUAGAAGUCUCAGCUUUUCUCAGAGACAGAGAUUAUGAUUGUGACAAGCAAGAACAUCUCCAGUAAUGAAGGUGCUGAUGGACAAGACCCUGGAUAGCUCUUCUUUUGCAGAGAAGUGCGACAGCCAGCAGGACAGUGAGGCUGCAGCAGCAUGGGGACAGAGUGCAGAAAGAAGUCACAGAAGCCUCGGAAGAAGGUUAUUUUCAGUCAUACAAGGACACCGUGAUGCUCGGGCUGCAGUCCUUUCCAAGUCUACGGGGCGUUGUUCCUUUGUGUCAACACCAGACAAGACUCAUGGGCAUUGCUGUCAGUGUUCUGUGUGUUAUAAUACCAGGGACCCUCACAUGGCUGUGGUAGAUUCUAAUCAAUAGAAAAUAGUAAGUCAAAGCAAAGGCAGUUACCCCUAAUGAGAACGUGGAAAGACAGAGCCAUCCUUUUGCCUAUUUCCAAGUUUUGAUUUUUUUUUCUUACAUUGUCUUCCUGAAAUUUUAAAAUUUACCCUCCCUUCAGCUGACUCAGUUCCCAUAACCAAACCAGCAGGAAGGAUUAUCACUCAUUUUUAUUAUACCCUAUUGGACAGAUAACUCAUUAUUUUGUUUCCAUUUAUUCAAUUACCAGUGAGGUCAAAUAUAUUUUCACAUAUUUAUUGGCCAUUUCUGUUUCAGUUUACUUUGCCUAUUCCUGUCUUUUGUCCAUUUUCCUUUUGGGGAAUUCAACUUUUUCUUAUUCAUUUAUAUCUGUAUAACAGUAAACAUUUGUCUUUCAUAAAUGUUGCAAAUAUUUUUUUUCCAUUUUUCUUUGCCUUUUCAUUUAUGUUUUUCUUUAAUAUAGAAAUUUAUAUGUAGUCAAAUCCUGAAAUUAUUUUUGUGCUUUCACUUCUGGGAUUAGGUAGAAAAGUUCUUUCUUAACCCCGGGAUUAAAUAUUUAUUUUAUUAUUAUUUUUUUUAGUGUAUUUAGAGGUUAUACUUAAAUUUGUUUUCCAUUUGAAAUUUAUUUUAAAAUAAGAUGAGUUGGUGAUUAACUUUGUUUUUUCUUUUUACCAAAGACUUAGCAAGUUUUAUAGACUUUGUUCUUGAGUAAUUCAUCUUUUUAAGUCAUAUUGCUCAUAUGUUAGUCCCUGCAUGUGAGAAGCUAUUUCUGGACUGUCUACUCUGUUCCCUUGAUCUGCCUAUUAUCUUGGCCCAAGGCCAUACAAUAUAAAUUCCUGUUGAUUUAUAAUAUACUUCUUUAUCUG